This 477-nucleotide ribosomal RNA is filed under the name uncultured bacterium. RNAcentral's name for it is "bacterial SSU rRNA". It matches the Rfam family "Bacterial small subunit ribosomal RNA", at positions 29 to 524 of the family's 1533-position model. The record is from RNAcentral.
AAUGAACGUUGGCGGCGUGGAUUAGGCAUGCAAGUCGAGCGAGAACCCGCAAGGGGGACAGCGGCAAACGGGGUAGUAAUGUGUCGGAACGUGCCCUCUGGACGAGGAUAGCGGCGGGAAACUGCCGGUAAUACCCGAUGAACUCGAGAGAGCAAAGGUGUGAUUCCGCCGGAGGAGCGGCCGACAUGGUAUUAGCUAGUUGGCGGGUAACGGCCCACCAAGGCUGUGAUGCCUAGGGGAUGUGAGAGCAUGAUCCCCACCAUUGGGACUGAGACACUGCCCAGACACCUACGGGUGGCUGCAGUCGAGAAUCUUCGUCAAUGGGCGAAAGCCUGAACGAGCGACGCCGCGUGCGGGAUGAAGGCCCUUGGGUUGUAAACCGCUGUCGAGGGGGAUGAAGGCUUGAAGGUACUCCUUCAAGUUUGACAGAGCCCAGAAGGAAGCACGGGCUAAGUUCGUGCCAGCAGCCGCGGUAAU